GUGCCAGCAGCCGCGGUAAUACGGAGGGGGCUAGCGUUGUUCGGAAUUACUGGGCGUAAAGCGCACGUAGGCGGAUCAGAAAGUUGGGGGUGAAAUCCCCGGGGCUCAACCUCGGAACUGCCUUCAAAACUAUUGGUCUUGAGUUCGAGAGAGGUGAGUGGAAUUCCCGACGUGUAAGGACGGUUGAAACUCUNCGUAGAUAUUCGGAGGAACACCAGUGGCGAAGCGGCUCACUGGCUCGAUACUGACGCUGAGGUGCGAA
RNAcentral lists this ribosomal RNA (262 nucleotides) under uncultured Rhodobacterales bacterium. RNAcentral describes it as "partial 16S ribosomal RNA". It matches the Rfam family "Bacterial small subunit ribosomal RNA", at positions 505 to 757 of the family's 1533-position model. The record is from RNAcentral. Lineage: Bacteria; Pseudomonadati; Pseudomonadota; Alphaproteobacteria; Rhodobacterales.